UAACCUGUCCAAGAGAUCGGGAUAACACCUGGAAACAGAUGCUAAUACCGGAUAAUAACAGAUGAUGCCUAUCAACUGUUUAAAAGAUGGUUCUGCUAUCACUCUUGGAUGGACCUGCGGUGCAUUAGCUAGUUGGUAGGGUAACGGCCUACCAAGGCGAUGAUGCAUAGCCGAGUUGAGAGACUGAUCGGCCACAUUGGGACUGAGACACGGCCCAAACUCCUACGGGAGGCAGCAGUU
RNAcentral lists this ribosomal RNA (240 nucleotides) under uncultured Lactobacillus sp. RNAcentral's name for it is "partial 16S ribosomal RNA". It matches the Rfam family "Bacterial small subunit ribosomal RNA", at positions 122 to 355 of the family's 1533-position model. The record is from RNAcentral. Lineage: Bacteria; Bacillati; Bacillota; Bacilli; Lactobacillales; Lactobacillaceae.